This 210-nucleotide unclassified non-coding RNA is filed under the name Glomeromycotina sp. RNAcentral describes it as "partial contains 5.8S ribosomal RNA and internal transcribed spacer 2". The stretch from base 1 to 71 matches the Rfam family "5.8S ribosomal RNA", at positions 84 to 154 of the family's 154-position model. The record is from RNAcentral. Lineage: Eukaryota; Fungi; Glomeromycota.
GUGAAUCAUCAAAUUUUUGAACGCAAAUUGCACUCUCUGGUAUUCCGGAGAGUAUGCCUGUUUGAGGGUCAGUUUAAUAAAAAUCGGUUGUUUGUUGCCGCUUUCCUUGGUAAGGCAUCGCGUUGGGUUGGUCUUACCUUCGUUAAAUUAACUUAAAUUUUUUCUUUAUUUUUGCACGUAUUUAUAAAUUUUUUGUACGAUUGUUAUUUU